RNAcentral lists this ribosomal RNA (509 nucleotides) under uncultured bacterium. Its description in RNAcentral is "bacterial SSU rRNA". It matches the Rfam family "Bacterial small subunit ribosomal RNA", at positions 28 to 527 of the family's 1533-position model. The record is from RNAcentral.
GACGAACGCUGGCGGCGUGCUUAACACAUGCAAGUCGAACGGUGACGAGGAGCUUGCUCCUCUGAUCAGUGGCGAACGGGUGAGUAACACGUGAGCAACCUGCCCCAGACUCUGGGAUAACAGUUGGAAACAGCUGCUAAUACCGGAUACGAGACGGAGAGGCAUCUCUACCGUCUGGUAAAGUUUUUCGGUCUGGGAUGGACUCGCGGCCUAUCAGCUAGUUGGUGAGGUAAUGGCUCACCAAGGCGACGACGGGUAGCCGGCCUGAGAGGGCGACCGGCCACACUGGGACUGGAGACACGGGCCCAGACUCCUACGGGAGGCAGCAGUGGGGAAUAUUGCACAAUGGGCGAAAGCCUGAUGCAGCGACGCCGCGUGAGGGAUGACGGCCUCGGUUGUAACGUCUUCUAGCAGGAAGAAGCGAAGUAGACGGUACCGAACGAAGAAAGACCCGGACCGUAACUACGUACGCCGAGCGACGCCGCCGGUAAGUAGCGUACGUACGAACG